RNAcentral lists this ribosomal RNA (253 nucleotides) under uncultured bacterium. Its description in RNAcentral is "partial 16S ribosomal RNA". It matches the Rfam family "Bacterial small subunit ribosomal RNA", at positions 524 to 776 of the family's 1533-position model. The record is from RNAcentral.
UACGGAGGGAGCUAGCGUUGUUCGGAAUUACUGGGCGUAAAGCGCGCGUAGGCGGAUGUUCAAGUCGGGGGUGAAAUCCCGGGGCUCAACCCCGGAACUGCCUCCGAUACUGGACGUCUGGAGGACGGGAGAGGCGAGUGGAAUGCCGAGUGUAGAGGUGAAAUUCGUAGAUAUUCGGCGGAACACCCGUGGCGAAGGCGGCUCGCUGGUCCGUUUCUGACGCUGAGGCGCGAAAGCGUGGGGAGCAAACAGG